Molecule: long non-coding RNA, 1254 nt
Filed under: Coffea arabica (coffee)
Lineage: Eukaryota; Viridiplantae; Streptophyta; Magnoliopsida; Gentianales; Rubiaceae
Description: long non-coding RNA (CARA_LNC007277)
Source: RNAcentral
AAAGUCCAAAACUUGCAAAGGCAUACCCAUUCACUGAAGCUUCAAUGCGAUACAUAUAUUCAACAAACUUUUCUCUGCUAUGUACAGAAAAUUAAAGAUUACAUCAAGACCUUCAACAUUGUCAUGAAGAUUCAUCCUAAAAUCGCGGCAUAAUUCCAGGGCAUCUCAAGAUCUUCAGCAUUUAUAUCUGCAUUCUUCUUGUAGAGAAGAUGUAUAGACGAUAGGUUACUGCAGCAGCUUCAAGCCUUGAAACUAUCAUUUGCAAAAGGUCCAGCACGAGUGAGUUUUACAAUUCCAGCAAAGGAAGUCGCAUCAAAAGGAACUUUCAACCAGAUUAUUGAACUCCUUUUUUAACUGAAAAAAUGCCAGAAGCUCCCUCAAGAGAAGCUCCCCAAAGCCCUGCUCUAAGCAGCACUAACACAUUAACAAGAAAAAUUGGUGCCAUUGUAGAAAAACUUCGUGAAAGCAAAUGCUGUCACUGCCACUCAGUUGACAAGAGAAAGGUAAGUAAGAUAGGAAAUCAUACCAAAGUUAGACAGUUAGCCAACAUCGAGCUAUAUACUUAGUGCACAUCUACCACAUAAAUCAACCAUAUUAUUGUUUUCUCAACUCCAAGUGAAAGACACUAGUAAACAACACCAAUAUGUUAUCAUACAUGAAGAAUGUGAGAUCAAGCUGAUGGAGGCAGAGAAAAUGCUUUUUGACAUUAGUAGCCAUAAAAAUUCACACUAAACUACCUGACAACAAUUAGUACUGCACAUUUUCACAACCUCUACUGAAAGAUUUAACAAUAGCUUCUCCUCAUCACAUGUCGAUAAACCUGGCCUACAUAGUGAAGCUAAAACCAGGCCUGCAUUGCACAGCAACUCAAUAGACCAUCACCAGUCUCUUACUGAAAGAACAAGAGUAAUAUAUGCAAAACAUCUUUCAAGGUUUAACAGAUGGUUCAAAUAACUAAGAUACAUAUAAAAGAAUGGCAUUGUAGCAAGCGGAAGGUAUGCAGAAAAAUAAGCCUCAUAAGAUCUACCCAAAUUGUAGCAUUACACCUACAGCAUAUUAGACGAUUCAUGAGCAUUCAUCGCACAGAUUUUCCUGAAAAGCAAAGUCUGCAGAAAUUGACACGAAAAUCAUACUUGUAGACCUAUAUAUUAGCAAUAAUUAUUUUUUCUUCUGUCUUCAAUGGUGUCCAAUGAUAAGGGUGAGGCAGUUAAUUAACAUCCAGCCCAGUGAAGAUUCAAGCCUGCAAAAUCAUUU